Drosophila obscura is the source of this 2451-nucleotide RNA transcript. It is a transcript of the gene named ion transport peptide, with no coding region annotated. Lineage: Eukaryota; Metazoa; Arthropoda; Insecta; Diptera; Drosophilidae. The record is from RefSeq and is a predicted model, not a curated record. The transcript is spliced from 4 exons.
AUCGCGUAUGCCUGGGCAUACUAUAUAUCCGAAUAUAUGUACAUAUAUGUGAAUAAUAAUCGGUGUGAACGUGAGAAUUGUGCGGCCCCUGCGACGCCGCUGUCGAUGCCGCCGAGUGUCAAUUAUGUGGAAAUAUAUUUACAAAAAUAUAUACAGAUAUAUUUCGUAUACAUGUACGUACGUGUGUGCUAGUGUGUGUGUGUGUGUGUGUGUGUGAUUCCUCCUGGCACUGAAUGUCACUAAAUGCGCCCGCCCGCCCCCCACAUAGGCCCGCUUCUUAGUCGCAUGUGACAGAAAGAGAGAGAGAGAGAGAGAAAGAGUGCAAGAGAGGGAGUGUACACUGUGUCUGUGUGUGUGUGGUUGUGGUGCGUGUAGAUCAGUCGCGCCCCCUCCCUUACCCCACUCAACAAACAAUUUUCAUUCAUUCAAUCGUUGCCCACCGCCCCCCGCCCCCUGCGCUCGAUCCAAGCGGCAAUUUUGCUUUGGCUCUUCUCCGAUCCGAUCCGCUCUGCGCUGCGCUGCGCUGCUCUGUCCUGUCCCCAAAGCCACGCACAAACAAAACGACAACAGAUAAAGAGGAGGCAGAGAGAGAGAGAGAGAGAGAACGAAAGAGCCGAAGAAGAACAGUGGGUUGCAUGGAUAGUGCCCUGGCCACGCCCCCCUAUGACGCCUAUUAGGCGUUAUCAGCGCACACAUAAAGACCUGACCAAAAUCCACACAAAAUGGCGAUGAACCCGAGUGCCAGAGAAAUACCGCAGGCCUGAAUCUGAAUCUAACUGCCGUUGGAUCUCGGCAACCAAGCAACACAUCCAUCGACCACAUCGACCACAUCGACCCGGGUCCGCCCCGGAGGGAGGAGGAGCGAUAAGCGAUAAUCGCGAAAAUUUUGGAGCCCAAAGCUCGCAUCGAACCCGAAACAAGCGGCUAAGAUGUGUUCCCGCAACAUAAAGAUCUCGGUGGUGCUGUUUCUCGUCUUGAUACCAAUCUUCACAGCCUUGCCACACAACCACAAUCUGUCGAAGCGCAGCAACUUCUUCGAUCUGGAGUGCAAGGGGAUCUUCAACAAGACCAUGUUCUUUCGCCUGGAUCGCAUCUGCGAGGACUGCUAUCAGCUGUUCCGCGAGACGAGUAUACAUCGGUUAUGCAAGAAAGACUGCUUUGAUUCAAAAUGGUUUGGCGAGUGCCUGAAAGUGCUGCUAAUACCAGAAGAAGAGGUAUCGAACUUGCAACACUUUCUGAGGGUUGUGAACGGUUCGCCCAUAUCCUUCAACAACACGCCGGGCCAAACAUAACUCUAAGAUCUUGAACCCCCCCCCCCGCACAGAGAUCAAGAGUCCGAGCAAAAAAAACAAACAAAUUUAAUUAUUUAAACGCCCAAAUUUAAUUCGUACUUAUUUAUUACUGUAGGCCUUACAGUUUAUACUAUAUGUGUUUUUUUAAAAACGAAUUACUUUUAUUAAUUUAUUGAGAACGUUAUGCGUUUGUUGUAAGUAACAUAAAUCGUAGGGAAACCACCGCAUGGAGAUGGAGAGAUGUAGAGAUGUAGAGAAAGAUACGAUAUAGUGGGAGGAACAGUGGGUGGGUGGAAGAGAUUCUACCCCCUGGAAUCGAAGUAUUUAUUUAUAAGUAUUCCUAGCUUGUUUUAUUAUUAUUAUUAUUAUCAUAAUUAUUAUUAUGUUAUGUAUAUACAAUAAACAAAAGAAAUCCAUUGUUUUAAAUCCAUGUAGAGUAGAAUACAGCAUUUAAUUUUAAAUUUUACACACGAUAAAUGCGCGGAAACCCCCACCUCCCCCCGAGAGUUAAAGAAAAGGCACACACACCUAACACACGAGACCGAAAGUAUUUUGCAAAUGUAUUACAAUUAAUUUUGUAACGAUUAAGCCCCUAAUUAGCGUAAAUCUGAGAAGAGAGUGGAAAUAUGCAUAUAAAAAACUAUAUAUGGGUAUCUAUGUAUAUCCGCAUAUAUCCAACGUAUCCACUUACCCGCACCCAUACUAAACUAAACUACUAAACUAAACGCUUAGUCUUAACGCUAAAACGCAAUUUGUGCAAAACACAAACAAAAAACCUUUGGUAAAAGCACACAAAAAAAAAGAAGAAGGAAUACAUUACAAAUGUAGAAAAAAGGACCAUCAUUCGCUGGCUAUUUGAGAGUGAAGGAGGGAGAGGAGAAGGAGAGCAUCAAAAUUGUGAUAAAUGAGAAUUAGAAAUGCGAAGCAGACCAGCCAGAAAUGAAAGAAUCCCAGAACCUCACAACCAGAACCAGAACCAGAAAGAGAGCGAGCGGAACAGAGAUUGAGAAAGAAACCAGAGAAUAGCCGGAGACGGCGACCGUUAACCGAUCGCUAACCGUUUUUGUUUUGGCAAGAAUGCUUCGGAUCGCCCUUCUUCAAUGCCUGCAUAGAGGCUCUUCAGCUGCACGAGGAAAUGGACAAGUAUAACGAAUGGCGC